AUGCCGGCGAGCGGCGGACGGGUGAGUAAUGCCUAGGAAUCUGCCUGGUAGUGGGGGAUAACUCGGGGAAACUCGAGCUAAUACCGCAUACGUCCUACGGGAGAAAGCGGGGGAUCUUCGGACCUCGCGCUACCAGAUGAGCCUAGGUCGGAUUAGCUAGUUGGUGAGGUAAAGGCUCACCAAGGCGACGAUCCGUAGCUGGUCUGAGAGGAUGAUCAGCCACACUGGAACUGAGACACGGUCCAGACUCCUACGGGAGGCAGCAGUGGGGAAUAUUGGACAAUGGGCGAAAGCCUGAUCCAGCCAUGCCGCGUGUGUGAAGAAGGUCUUCGGAUUGUAAAGCACUUUAAGUUGGGAGGAAGGGCAGUAAGCUAAUACCUUGCUGUUUUGACGUUACCGACAGAAUAAGCACCGGCUAACUUCGUGCCAGCAGCCGCGGUAAUACGAAGGGUGCAAGCGUUAAUCGGAAUUACUGGGCGUAAAGCGCGCGUAGGUGGUUUGAUAAGUUGGAUGUGAAAGCCCCGGGCUCAACCUGGGAAUUGCAUCCAAAACUGUCUGACUAGAGUA
Molecule: ribosomal RNA, 567 nt
Filed under: Stutzerimonas balearica DSM 6083
Lineage: Bacteria; Pseudomonadati; Pseudomonadota; Gammaproteobacteria; Pseudomonadales; Pseudomonadaceae
Description: bacterial SSU rRNA
Rfam family: Bacterial small subunit ribosomal RNA
Source: RNAcentral